CGCGGCCUAUCAGCUUGUUGGUGAGGUAAUGGCUCACCAAGACGACGACGGGUAGCCGGCCUGAGAGGGCGACCGGCCACACUGGGACUGAGACACGGCCCAGACUCCUACGGGAGGCAGCAGUGGGGAAUAUUGCACAAUGGGGGAAACCCUGAUGCAGCGACGCAGCGUGCGGGAUGACGGCCUUCGGGUUGUAAACCGCUUUCAGCAGGGAAGAAGCGCAAGUGACGGUACCUGCAGAAGAAGUACCGGCUAACUACGUGCCAGCAGCCGCGGUAAUACGUAGGGUACGAGCGUUGUCCGGAAUUAUUGGGCGUAAAGAGCUCGUAGGUGGUUGGUCACGUCUGCUGUGGAAACGCAACGCUUAACGUUGCGCGUGCAGUGGGUACGGGCUGACUAGAGUGCAGUAGGGGAGUCUGGAAUUCCUGGUGUAGCGGUGAAAUGCGCAGAUAUCAGGAGGAACACCGGUGGCGAAGGCGGGACUCUGGGCUGUAACUGACACUGAGGAGCGAAAGCAUGGGGAGCGAACAGGAUUAGAUACCCUGGUAGUCCAUGCCGUAAACGUUGGGCACUAGGUGUGGGGGGCAUUCCACGUUCUCCGCGCCGUAGCUAACGCAUUAAGUGCCCCGCCUGGGGAGUACGG
RNAcentral lists this ribosomal RNA (643 nucleotides) under uncultured bacterium. RNAcentral describes it as "bacterial SSU rRNA". It matches the Rfam family "Bacterial small subunit ribosomal RNA", at positions 232 to 885 of the family's 1533-position model. The record is from RNAcentral.